Molecule: long non-coding RNA, 636 nt
Organism: Pygocentrus nattereri (red-bellied piranha)
Lineage: Eukaryota; Metazoa; Chordata; Actinopteri; Characiformes; Serrasalmidae
Exons: 2
Source: RefSeq, a predicted model, not a curated record
GAACCCAGCAGAUUGGAGGGAGAGUAGAGAGCUCGUCAGCCAAAACACAGUUUUCAUCCACAUAACCUCACUAAUACCCUGAUUUUACGCUAGAUGGGAGAGGUCUUGCUUUGUGGGACUGCUCUGCUGUGCCCUAUGAUGCUGACCGACUGCUGAUGCCAUGCAAACGGACCCGUGAGGAUUUGUUGCUGCUGUGUUUUUAUUUUUUUACCUGCAGGUGAAAUUUUUUUUUUUUGAACAGAAAGGCCUAAAGACAAUUUUUUUUUUUGUAUUUCGGUACAAAAGGACUGCAUUAAGGUGAACCCCACCCACAUUGACGUUCAAUUCACGGAUGCUUAAAAGAAAAAAAGAAAAGAAACCACAUUCUUGCAUUGGUACAUUUGAAAGUAAAAACAAAAGUUCCUACCGUAAGUCCGGUAUGCUUGGGCCUGAUAUUUCUUUAUUCAGACUCUACAGUAGUACAUUGCUAUCGGACCCACAUAAAACAAGUUUCUCGUUAAUCCCUUAUUGUAUAUACAAGGUGGUUUGGACAGUGUUCCUUGUGUACUAGGUUACAUGAACAUGUUUAGGCUGUUCAUUGUUCAGGAAAUGAAUGUGCUCUUUUAUAAUAAAAAAUGUUUAAGCAUUUAUAAACUA